GUGAAAUAGUGAUGUCUCUUCCCAUUUAUUCUAAAACUAUCUCCCCUAUUAACCAAGACAAUAGUCAAGUUCAUUUCAUUUUGCAAUGUCUUUGGAUGUUAAGGUUUGACAUAAUACUCAGUGGUGAGUCAACCACUUCCUCCCCUAGACAGAACUUGAUAAACUUUUUGCAUGGGACUGUACAGUUAGACAAUGUUACCAUUAAACAUUAUUGUAAUGAAGAUACUUUCUGAUCAGAUAAGUGCAAUUGCUAAAGAGGAAAUAUACAUCAUCAUCAUCAUAAUGGAACACUAGCAUUUGAUUGGACAAGAACUGAGUGAUGGAGAUCGGAAG
Molecule: long non-coding RNA, 333 nt
Filed under: Androctonus crassicauda
Lineage: Eukaryota; Metazoa; Arthropoda; Arachnida; Scorpiones; Buthidae
Source: RNAcentral